AUGUUUGCCCAAACGCGACCGACCCAAAAUUAACCCGCCGACUCAAAUUCUUUUUUUGACGUUUUUUAGAAGAAUUUUUUUUUUUUGCGGAUUUUUUUCGUGUUCGCUCCGUCAUCGUAUAAAACUUAAAGUUUGUCGUCUUUGCGUUUGAAAGUAACUGUGAAUACGAUUAAAAGAAAGCGCAUAAGAGAUGCAGUUAAUCGAUAUUCGAUGUUCUCAGUUUUUAUCUUCUGACUUAUAUGUAACGAACGUAAAGAAGUGAAACAUGUGAAGUGGCACAUUUUUUACGCUGUAGUUGUCUGUACUACCAAACCCUUACCUAUAUGUUCAAUGUUA
RNAcentral lists this long non-coding RNA (336 nucleotides) under Mytilus galloprovincialis (Mediterranean mussel). The record is from RNAcentral. Lineage: Eukaryota; Metazoa; Mollusca; Bivalvia; Mytilida; Mytilidae.